CCUUAUUUGGAGGACCAGGCAUCAUACAAUCAGAUAAUGGAAGGCGCUUCAUCUUUUAGAUGGAUAUCCUCAAUUGGGAACUUCUUUCGCCAACAAUUUGGUUUUGCCGAGGGUCAAACAAUGCUGCAUGUUCAAUAAGCACUCUGCAUUUCAACAAGAGUGACCAGGUGGUGCAGAAUAUGCACAUUUACAUUCAUUCUCUGUGCAUAACUCCAAACGAAAAGGAGAAACAAAAAGAAACCCACCUGUAUAUUAGUAUCCCAUCUUAUGGUUUUGUAAUACAAUGAUAAGGCAGCUUAUGACCGGAGUGAUUGGAAGCUCAUAAAAAUGGGGAUGAUGAGGUAGUCCAGUUG
This 353-nucleotide long non-coding RNA is filed under the name Ricinus communis (castor bean). RNAcentral's name for it is "long non-coding RNA (RCOM_LNC000176)". Lineage: Eukaryota; Viridiplantae; Streptophyta; Magnoliopsida; Malpighiales; Euphorbiaceae. The record is from RNAcentral.